Molecule: ribosomal RNA, 442 nt
Filed under: uncultured bacterium
Lineage: Bacteria
Description: bacterial SSU rRNA
Rfam family: Bacterial small subunit ribosomal RNA
Source: RNAcentral
CCUACGGGGGGCUGCAGUGAGGAAUCUUCCACAAUGGGCGAAAGCCUGAUGGAGCAACGCCGCGUGCAGGAUGAAGGCCUUCGGGUCGUAAACUGCUUUUAUUUGUGAAGAAUAUGACGGUAACAAAUGAAUAAGGGUCGGCUAACUACGUGCCAGCAGCCGCGGUCAUACGUAGGACCCAAGCGUUAUCCGGAGUGACUGGGCGUAAAGAGUUGCGUAGGUGGUUUGUAAAGCGAAUAGUGAAAUCUGGCGGCUCAACCGUACAGGCUAUUAUUCGAACUCACAAACUCGAGAAUGGUAGAGGUUACUGGAAUUUCUAGUGUAGGAGUGAAAUCCGUAGAUAUUAGAAGGAACACCAAUGGCGUAGGCAGGUAACUGGACCAUUUCUGACACUAAGGCACGAAAGCGUGGGGAGCGAACCGGCUUAGAUACCCCAGUAGUC